UAAAAUAACUAGGUAUUACAGCGGUUAUGCACUCAUCCGAUCCGAGCCCGUGAAAAUACGGAUAUGAAAAACUCGGACUGAACUCUGAUAUUGCUUGCGCACUAAUCGAAAUCGAAAUCAUA
Molecule: long non-coding RNA, 122 nt
Organism: Maniola jurtina (meadow brown)
Lineage: Eukaryota; Metazoa; Arthropoda; Insecta; Lepidoptera; Nymphalidae
Exons: 3
Source: RefSeq, a predicted model, not a curated record